This 1031-nucleotide ribosomal RNA is filed under the name Salmonella enterica subsp. enterica serovar Agona str. 26.F.98. RNAcentral's name for it is "bacterial LSU rRNA". It matches the Rfam family "Bacterial large subunit ribosomal RNA", at positions 1223 to 2236 of the family's 2925-position model. The record is from RNAcentral. Lineage: Bacteria; Pseudomonadati; Pseudomonadota; Gammaproteobacteria; Enterobacterales; Enterobacteriaceae.
GUUGGGUAGGGGAGCGUUCUGUAAGCCUGCGAAGGUGGCCUGUGAGGGUUGCUGGAGGUAUCAGAAGUGCGAAUGCUGACAUAAGUAACGAUAAAGCGGGUGAAAAGCCCGCUCGCCGGAAGACCAAGGGUUCCUGUCCAACGUUAAUCGGGGCAGGGUGAGUCGACCCCUAAGGCGAGGCCGAAAGGCGUAGUCGAUGGGAAACGGGUUAAUAUUCCCGUACUUGGUGUUACUGCGAAGGGGGGACGGAGAAGGCUAUGUUGGCCGGGCGACGGUUGUCCCGGUUUAAGCGUGUAGGUGUGUGUUCCAGGUAAAUCCGGUUCACUUUAACACUGAGGCGUGACGACGAGGCACUACGGUGCUGAAGCAACAAAUGCCCUGCUUCCAGGAAAAGCCUCUAAGCAUCAGGUAACAUCAAAUCGUACCCCAAACCGACACAGGUGGUCAGGUAGAGAAUACCAAGGCGCUUGAGAGAACUCGGGUGAAGGAACUAGGCAAAAUGGUGCCGUAACUUCGGGAGAAGGCACGCUGACACGUAGGUGAAGUGAUUUACUCAUGGAGCUGAAGUCAGUCGAAGAUACCAGCUGGCUGCAACUGUUUAUUAAAAACACAGCACUGUGCAAACACGAAAGUGGACGUAUACGGUGUGACGCCUGCCCGGUGCCGGAAGGUUAAUUGAUGGGGUCAGCGCAAGCGAAGCUCCUGAUCGAAGCCCCGGUAAACGGCGGCCGUAACUAUAACGGUCCUAAGGUAGCGAAAUUCCUUGUCGGGUAAGUUCCGACCUGCACGAAUGGCGUAAUGAUGGCCAGGCUGUCUCCACCCGAGACUCAGUGAAAUUGAACUCGCUGUGAAGAUGCAGUGUACCCGCGGCAAGACGGAAAGACCCCGUGAACCUUUACUAUAGCUUGACACUGAACAUUGAGCCUUGAUGUGUAGGAUAGGUGGGAGGCUUUGAAGUGUGGACGCCAGUCUGCAUGGAGCCGACCUUGAAAUACCACCCUUUAAUGUUUGAUGUUCUAACGUGGACCCGU